This 301-nucleotide ribosomal RNA is filed under the name uncultured bacterium. RNAcentral's name for it is "partial 16S ribosomal RNA". It matches the Rfam family "Bacterial small subunit ribosomal RNA", at positions 509 to 807 of the family's 1533-position model. The record is from RNAcentral.
CAGCAGCCGCGGGAAUACGUAGGUGGCAAGCGUUGUCCGGAUUUAUUGGGCGUAAAGCGAGCGCAGGCGGUUUCUUAAGUCUGAUGUGAAAGCCCCCGGCUCAACCGGGGAGGGUCAUUGGAAACUGGGAGACUUGAGUGCAGAAGAGGAGAGUGGAAUUCCAUGUGUAGCGGUGAAAUGCGUAGAUAUAUGGAGGAACACCAGUGGCGAAGGCGGCUCUCUGGUCUGUAACUGACGCUGAGGCUCGAAAGCGUGGGGAGCGAACAGGAUUAGAUACCCCGGUAGUCCCUGUCUCUUAUAC